AUACCUUUCUCGGCCUUUUGGCUAAGAUCAAGUGUAGUAUCUGUUCUUAUCAGUUUAAUAUCUGAUAUGUGAGCCAAUGGCUCACACGAUAUUAACUCAAUUUCUUUAGGGGAAAGGCCCAUUAAGGAAGCUUGCUUCUUGGGCCUUUGAGUGUCGCCUUGGUUUUGCACUAUUGCCUUGGCUUGGCACACCCCAA
Molecule: small nuclear RNA, 196 nt
Filed under: Ipomoea nil (Japanese morning glory)
Lineage: Eukaryota; Viridiplantae; Streptophyta; Magnoliopsida; Solanales; Convolvulaceae
Description: U2 spliceosomal RNA
Rfam family: U2 spliceosomal RNA
About the family: U2 is a small nuclear RNA (snRNA) component of the spliceosome (involved in pre-mRNA splicing).
Source: Rfam by way of RNAcentral